GACGAACGCUGGCGGCGUGCUUAACACAUGCAAGUCGAGCGGUAAGGCCCUUUCGCGGGUACACGAGCGGCGAACGGGUGAGUAACACGUGGGUGACCUGCCCUUAGCUCUGGGAUAAGCCUGGGAAACUGGGUCUAAUACCGGAUAUGACUCCAUGACGCAUGUUGGUGGGGUGGAAAGCCUUGUGCGGCUAGGGAGUGGGCCCGCGGCCUAUCAGCUUGUUGGUGGGGUGANGGCCUACCAAGGCGACGACGGGUAGCCGGCCUGAGAGGGCGACCGGCCACACUGGGACUGAGACACGGCCCAGACUCCUACGGGAGGCAGCAGU
Molecule: ribosomal RNA, 328 nt
Filed under: uncultured bacterium
Lineage: Bacteria
Description: bacterial SSU rRNA
Rfam family: Bacterial small subunit ribosomal RNA
Source: RNAcentral